UACGGGGGGAGCAAGCGUUGUUCGGAUUUACUGGGCGUAAAGGGCGCGUAGGCGGCGUGACAAGUCACUUGUGAAAUCUCCGGGCUUAACUCGGAACGGUCAAGUGAUACUGUCGGGCUAGAGUGCGGAAGGGGCAACUGGAAUUCUCGGUGUAGCGGUGAAAUGCGUAGAUAUCGAGAGGAACACCUGCGGCGAAGGCAAUCCCCUGGGCCUGCACUGACGCUCAUGCACGAAAGCGUGGGGAGCAAACAGG
This 253-nucleotide ribosomal RNA is filed under the name uncultured bacterium. Its description in RNAcentral is "partial 16S ribosomal RNA". It matches the Rfam family "Bacterial small subunit ribosomal RNA", at positions 524 to 776 of the family's 1533-position model. The record is from RNAcentral.